UGCGCACAUUGGUUGUUUACCCAUAUUCA
Molecule: non-coding RNA, 29 nt
Filed under: Mus musculus (house mouse)
Lineage: Eukaryota; Metazoa; Chordata; Mammalia; Rodentia; Muridae
Source: RNAcentral